GCACCGGUAGCUCAAUUGGAUAGAGCGACGGCCUACGGAGCCGUAGGUUGGAGGUUCGAUCCCUCUCCGGUGUA
Molecule: transfer RNA, 74 nt
Filed under: Deltaproteobacteria bacterium CG2_30_63_29
Lineage: Bacteria; Deltaproteobacteria
Also listed under: 2 other names
Description: tRNA-Arg
Rfam family: tRNA
About the family: Transfer RNA (tRNA) molecules are approximately 80 nucleotides in length. Their secondary structure includes four short double-helical elements and three loops (D, anti-codon, and T loops).
Source: RNAcentral